Molecule: small nuclear RNA, 167 nt
Organism: Zeugodacus cucurbitae (melon fly)
Lineage: Eukaryota; Metazoa; Arthropoda; Insecta; Diptera; Tephritidae
Product: U2 spliceosomal RNA
Exons: 1
Source: RefSeq, a predicted model, not a curated record
AGCGCUUCUCGGCCUUAUGGUUAAGAUCAAAGUGUAGUAUCUGUUCUUAACAGCUUAACAUCUGAAGUCAAUUAAUUCAUAUAAAAUAUAGAUAGGAAAUUCGUAUUCAUAUGAGAAUACGUACGAGUACCUAUAUACCAGAAUCCAUAUGCAAAUUUGUAUACUAC